Molecule: ribosomal RNA, 420 nt
Filed under: Bacillus subtilis
Lineage: Bacteria; Bacillati; Bacillota; Bacilli; Caryophanales; Bacillaceae
Description: bacterial SSU rRNA
Rfam family: Bacterial small subunit ribosomal RNA
Source: RNAcentral
AGGGGGUUUCCGCCCCUUAGUGCUGCAGCUAACGCAUUAAGCACUCCGCCUGGGGAGUACGGUCGCAAGACUGAAACUCAAAGGAAUUGACGGGGGCCCGCACAAGCGGUGGAGCAUGUGGUUUAAUUCGAAGCAACGCGAAGAACCUUACCAGGUCUUGACAUCCUCUGACAAUCCUAGAGAUAGGACGUCCCCUUCGGGGGCAGAGUGACAGGUGGUGCAUGGUUGUCGUCAGCUCGUGUCGUGAGAUGUUGGGUUAAGUCCCGCAACGAGCGCAACCCUUGAUCUUAGUUGCCAGCAUUCAGUUGGGCACUCUAAGGUGACUGCCGGUGACAAACCGGAGGAAGGUGGGGAUGACGUCAAAUCAUCAUGCCCCUUAUGACCUGGGCUACACACGUGCUACAAUGGACAGAACAAAGG